CUUGUCCAGAGGCAGCUUCAGGACCCACUAUGGGAGCACAGGCUGCAUGGGCGCAGCCCUCGGGUGCUGAUACAGGGCCUGGCUUGGACCCUCCUUCGCCUCGGACUCAGGUGCUAUUCAUUUCCCCCUCCCUGGGAGCCAUCAUCAGAACAAAGAGGCCGGACCCAGGAGAGCAAGACCCAGGUCUCAGGAGGCCAGAAGCCACAGGUGUUCGACUUUGUGACCUCUGCCUGCCACAGUGAAUCCAAGAAUCCACAGCUGCGAUUUGUGUUAGGGUACGGAGUUGAAGAAUGUGAAGCAGACCUUGGCUCCCCUCACGGGGUCACAGGCCACGGGGACAGGCAGACUCAAGGAACUGAACUUGUGUAUGUGAGAAGGAGCUACGAUUGCUGCACCAAUCGGGGUACUGAGAUGGAGGAUACUGGGGUGCACGGGGCCUUGUUAAAUCCCCGUGGUGAGGGGCACUUCCCUGAGGUCCUCACCCUCUGGGGAAGGGGCUGGGGGGCAAAUGGGAUUCUGGCCCAAGUGAUCUCCAAUCUCCACCCUAAGGGAUGGAUGCAGAUGGAAAGUCAGGAGGUGUGGGCUCCCCUUCUGGCUCUGGUAACCCCUCGGGUUCCCCACCUCUGUGGAUUUCACCCCCUCAACCCCCACCCAGAGCUCACCAAACCCUGCAGGCUGUCUUGGCCUUGACCUGCGCUGCUUUCUCACUGUCUCUCCCAUGUCCUCUGGCCCCUGGCUACUCCUCACUCUGUGCCUGGUGUGUCGGUGCUCCGUGGAGCCCUGAGGGUGUGCUCAGGGGCCGCCCUCACAAGUUACCCCGUCUCUGGACCUGAGCCUGCAGGACCAUUUGCUCCUACAACCAUAUUCAGGAGAUUGGUCCACUGCUUUCCUGUCCUCACAUCCCCACUGGUCUUCCAGAGUGGGGGCCCAAAAGCAGGAUUUUCCUUCCUCACCACUCGCCUCCCCAAGGCUACCCCAAGGCAAGUCGGGGGCACAUCCUUCCCCUAUUGUCACUGUCUGUCAUGACAUCGUCCCGUUGAGCUCAUGUGUGACAUCAGAAUCCUUCUCAACACAGCCAUUUGGGAAGCUGAUGCUGAAGAACUGGAGCUGACUUGUGGGAUGAAAUCUGUUAGCUGUUCUUGUUUAGCAAGAGCUAGGAUACCAUGUGGCCCACGUGUAGACUUCUGCAUAAACAAAGCUUGGGGUGUGGACCUAGCUGGAAUUGCAGGUACAGAGGCAGGAGCCAGACCAGUCUGAAGAGAGCUGGAAGUUGGCAGGCAGUGGGCAGGGUGUCCCUGGGAGAGGUACCAUGGGCUGGGAGGCAGUGGGACAGAAGUACAGGGCCCAGAGGGAGAUGGUUCAGGGCAGGUUGGUCCUACUGGGGAUCCUCUGAGGGCUGGCGGGACCUCUGAGACUUGCCCUAUCACCCCUUCCCCCAGCCUGAAGUAUCACCCUUCUCAAAAGACCAGAACAUCACUGCCUCAAGCAGAGGCAGGCCGGGACAGUUGGGAGGGUACCUCUGUAGGCCGAAUGAGCCUUUAUGAAAACGACGUCAGUGUCUUUGCCCUAGCUGUGGUCCUUAGAGGCAGGCACAGGGGCACGGACGGUUGUCAAAGACCCUAGUGUGGUCAGGGUUUCCCAGGAGCUGUGUGGCUGCCUCGGGGCCCUGGUGGCCUGGGCACGGGGGAAGUCAGCAGAAAGGACGGGCCUCCUGCCUCCCCUUGGCAGGUCCUGUGGCACCAGUUCUCCUCUCUGUGAGCGCCUGGAGGUGGCUGCACCUCUGCUGGUCUUGAUCCCUUGAGGACGGCCCACGCCCUGAGGGCUGCAUGUUCACUCCUCAUCCCAGGCCCCGGCACUGGAAGGAGGGACCCCAACUGACUGAAUGAGUGGUGCUGCUGUCUGUGCCACCUGUCAGAGUUUCCUGCUCGCUGGACACCUGUCAUCUCUGCGACACUGGGAGCUGCCUGAAGGCCGGGCUGGCCCAGUUCUCUACGGCUGGAUUUCCAGGGUGGAGAUACAGACACAGAGCAGCCAUAUCUUCUUAUUGUACCACCUGGGCUCUGUCCAAGUCUGGGUUGGGGCACCCUGGGCCUCGGGUGGCUCUGGAGCUGGGCCCUGGUGGUCCUAGAGAAUUUGGAACACACUGCCGGCCAAGCAGAAGCUGCCGUCCCCCACAAGCCACGGCCAUGCUCCAGUCACACCGCUUGGCCUUGCCUCGCCUUCUCCAAGCUGAAGUUUCUGUCCCUGCUCCCCUGGGACCUGUCCCAAGUCCCCUUGGUUCCUAAGGUUCAACUGCAGGGCCUCCUCCUUCAGAGUCGCUGCCUGGAGUAGGCCUCUGGCCCUCUGUGUUCCCUGUGCUGGUCUGAUGCUGUCUCGCAGGAUCCACAGGAUGCACACUUGUGAACUU
RNAcentral lists this long non-coding RNA (2407 nucleotides) under Heterocephalus glaber (naked mole-rat). RNAcentral's name for it is "lncRNA (ENSHGLG00000037958.1)". The record is from RNAcentral. Lineage: Eukaryota; Metazoa; Chordata; Mammalia; Rodentia; Bathyergidae.